CCUACGGGAGGCAGCAGUGGGGAAUAUUGCACAAUGGGCGAAAGCCUGAUGCAGCAACGCCGCGUGAGCGAUGAAGGCCUUCGGGUCGUAAAGCUCUGUCCUCAAGGAAGAUAAUGACGGUACUUGAGGAGGAAGCCCCGGCUAACUACGUGCCAGCAGCCGCGGUAAUACGUAGGGGCCUAGCGUUAUCCGGAAUUACGGGGCGUAAGGGGUGCGUAGGUGGUUUCUUAAGUCAGAGGGGAAAGGCUACGGCUCAACCGUAGUAAGCCUUUGAAACUGGGGAACUUGAGUGCAGGAGAGGAGAGUGGAAUUCCUAGUGUAGCGGUGAAAUGCGUAGAUAUUAGGAGGAACACCAGUGGCGAAGGCGGCUCUCUGGACUGUAACUGACACUGAGGCACGAAAGCGUGGGGAGCAAACAGGAUUAGAUACCCCAGUAGUC
This 439-nucleotide ribosomal RNA is filed under the name uncultured bacterium. RNAcentral describes it as "partial 16S ribosomal RNA". It matches the Rfam family "Bacterial small subunit ribosomal RNA", at positions 338 to 795 of the family's 1533-position model. The record is from RNAcentral.